AAUUCGUUUGUGUAGCGGUGAAAUGCGUAGAUAUAACCGAAGAAACACCAAUUGCGUAGGCAGCUUACCAUACUGCAACUGACGCUGAGGCACGAAAGUGUGGGUAUCAAACAGGAUUAGAUACCCUGGUAGUCCACACAGUAAACGAUGAAUACUAGCUGUUUGCGAUACACUGCAAGUGGCCGAGCGAAAGCAUUAAGUAUUCCACCUGGGGAGUACGCCGGCAACGGUGUAACUCAAAGGAAUUGACGGGGGCCCGCACAAGCGGAGGAACAUGUGGUUUAAUUCGAUGAUACGCGAGGAACCUUACCCGGGCUUGAAUUGCAUUUGAAUACAGUGGAAACAUUGUAGCCAGCAAUGGCAAAUGUGAAGGUGCUGCAUGGUUGUCGUCAGCUCGUGCCGUGAGGUGUCGGCUUAAGUGCCAUAACGAGCGCAACCCUCAUCACUAGUUACCAUCAGGUCAAGCUGGGGACUCUAGUGAGACUGCCGGCGUAAGCUGUGAGGAAGGUGGGGAUGACGUCAAAUCAGCACGGCCCUUACGUCCGGGGCGACACGCGUGUUACAAUGGGGGGUACAGCGGGUUGCUACCUGGUGACAGGAUGCUAAUCUUAAAAACCCUUCUCAGUUCGGAUCGGAGUCUGCAACUCGCCUGCAUGAAGUCGGAAUUGCUAGUAAUGGCAGGUCAGCAUACUGCCGUGAAUACGUUCCCGGGUCUUGUACACACCGCCCGUCACACCAUGAGAGUCUGUAACACCCGAAGUCAGUAGUCUAACCUGAUUAGAUUAGGGGGACGCUGCCGAAGGUGGGAUAGAUAAUUGGGGUGAAGUCGUAACAAGGUAGCCGUA
RNAcentral lists this ribosomal RNA (845 nucleotides) under uncultured bacterium. RNAcentral describes it as "bacterial SSU rRNA". It matches the Rfam family "Bacterial small subunit ribosomal RNA", at positions 665 to 1504 of the family's 1533-position model. The record is from RNAcentral.